AUGGCAGAAGAUCCACGUGCACUUCCCAUCCCGCAGGAAUGGGGUCACGUUCCGGGACCUGGGGAGGCCGUGAGCCCAACCCCUCUGCAGGUCCCGGCUGGGGGCAGUGGGGAGAGAGGCCGCGCGCUUUGGGGCCGGUUGCUGGGGAUGGUGCAGGGGUCUGCACGGCUCAGGGGUGUGCAUGGUGGGUGUAGAGCCAGGGGCACGGCUCCGUGGUUGGCAGCACCGUGGGCAGCGUGCAAAGCUUUACCAAUGCGGUGUGUGGCUGUAGCUCUGCGUCUUGUGUCGGAGGAGGAUGUGUGCAGCUGGGCUCUGAACCUCUCCUGGAAAAGGGACGAGUUUUGCCUUUUUUACCCGCAGGACCCUGCUUUGUGCGCCAUGCGUUGCUUUCCUUCUGCUGGGGGUGUUUGUAGCAGCCCCUGUGCCACCUGCAGCAGGGAGGCAGAAAAGCCCGAAAGCCCCGGGUACUGUUCUCGAAGCACCGGGGCAGACGCUGCCGAGCCAAGGGACUGCGGCCCACACACGGCUGCAGCUCGGGGCAGGGGGGCCCUGGGGACACGGGGACGUGGGGACACAGCACCAGCAGCACCCGCAUGUCCCGGCCUUUACCUCCCCCUAGUGCCACCCUGGGGAGCAGAGCUGGGCACGGCCGGGGCGCAGCACCCUGCCCGGCACCCACAGCGUGCUGGUGGCAGCAGCCACCCCCAAGCCCCCAAACCGGGCCAAGCGAGCGCCUGGCAUUGCUGCUGCAGCCGGCGGCAGCGAGGAGACAUUGAGCAGAGGGGGCUGAGCAGAGCCAUGCGGUGGAGGCACCAACGCUUGGUCCAAAGGUACCGAAAAAGUGAAGUUCUGAAGGUGGGAAUCGGGUGGGAAUCAGCACUGAAAAGUGCUGUCCCCAUGCGGCCGGGUGAAAGGAGGGCUCGGACCCCACCAGGUCACUGUGUCUUUGGGGACGAGGACCUGAGCCCAUGCAUGCACCAAAUGGUGCCCGGCCUCAGCAGAGCCGCGGGGUCACCCCCAGCCCCCGGGGCUGCCCCUGGCCUUCACUCCCACCACCCCUUGUGCUGGGACCAGGCUAAGAUUCCCCUCUGUGGACUGGGGCAAGGCAUGCUCUGUUGA
This 1119-nucleotide long non-coding RNA is filed under the name Numida meleagris (helmeted guineafowl). Its description in RNAcentral is "lncRNA (ENSNMEG00000021367.1)". Lineage: Eukaryota; Metazoa; Chordata; Aves; Galliformes; Numididae. The record is from RNAcentral.